This 229-nucleotide ribosomal RNA is filed under the name uncultured bacterium. Its description in RNAcentral is "partial 16S ribosomal RNA". It matches the Rfam family "Bacterial small subunit ribosomal RNA", at positions 568 to 796 of the family's 1533-position model. The record is from RNAcentral.
UGCGCAGGCGGCCUGGUAAGUCAGGGGUGAAAUAUGACGGCUUAACCGUCAAACUGCCCCUGAAACUGUCAGGCUUGAGUCCGGGAGAGGAAGGUGGAAUUCCAGGUGUAGCGGUGAAAUGCGUAAAUAUCUGGAGGAACACCGGUGGCGAAGGCGGCCUUCUGGCCCGGAACUGACGCUCAGGCACGAAAGCUAGGGGAGCGAACAGGAUUAGAUACCCUGGUAGUCC